This 377-nucleotide transfer-messenger RNA is filed under the name Ilumatobacteraceae. RNAcentral describes it as "UBA2093 sp016870775 Standard tmRNA". It matches the Rfam family "transfer-messenger RNA". Rfam says of the family: Bacterial tmRNA, also known as 10Sa RNA or SsrA, is named for its dual tRNA and mRNA-like properties. Its role is to liberate the mRNA from a stalled ribosome. Lineage: Bacteria; Bacillati; Actinomycetota; Acidimicrobiia; Acidimicrobiales. RNAcentral also lists the same sequence under 1 other name. The record is from RNAcentral.
GGGGCUGACAGGUUUCGACAGCAGAGUCGUUGUUCGAGUGUGCGACCCGAGUUGCUCAGACUCGCUAAACGGGGCAACCAAAAGAAUUGCCAACGAGCAGUUCGCUCUCGCGGCCUAAUCCGUCGUAGAGAGACAUCGUGACCAGCAAUGGCGCACGGGGCCGAUCCACCGCAGCCCGGCAACAGAAGCGGGGGAUGACAACGGGAAAGAUCGUUGGCGCCGGGGAAGACCGGUGACAUGGCGGAAAGACGCCACGCGACCCCGCAAGGGGUGGUCGACCCGCCGAUGACGUUGCGUCAGCGUCGAAGCUGGGAAUGGUCGUAGCACGUUCGUUCCGCGCCUGAUGGACGGGGGUUCGAUUCCCCCCAGCUCCACCA